Molecule: ribosomal RNA, 440 nt
Filed under: uncultured bacterium
Lineage: Bacteria
Description: partial 16S ribosomal RNA
Rfam family: Bacterial small subunit ribosomal RNA
Source: RNAcentral
CCUACGGGAGGCAGCAGUGGGGAAUAUUGCACAAUGGGGGAAACCCUGAUGCAGCGACGCCGCGUGAGUGAAGAAGUAUUUCGGUAUGUAAAGCUCUAUCAGCAGGGAAGAAAAUGACGGUACCUGACUAAGAAGCCCCGGCUAACUACGUGCCAGCAGCCGCGGUAAUACGUAGGGGGCAAGCGUUAUCCGGAUUUACUGGGUGUAAAGGGAGCGUAGACGGCCAGACAAGUCAGAAGUGAAAGCCCAGGGCUCAACUCUGGGACUGCUUUUGAAACUGCCGGGCUGGGGUGAUGGAGAGGCAGGCGGAAUUCCGUGUGUAGCGGUGAAAUGCGUAGAUAUACGGAGGAACACCAGUGGCGAAGGCGGCCUGCUGGACAUUAACUGACGCUGAGGCGCGAAAGCGUGGGGAGCAAACAGGAUUAGAUACCCCUGUAGUC